Molecule: ribosomal RNA, 192 nt
Filed under: uncultured Anoxybacillus sp.
Lineage: Bacteria; Bacillati; Bacillota; Bacilli; Caryophanales; Anoxybacillaceae
Description: partial 16S ribosomal RNA
Rfam family: Bacterial small subunit ribosomal RNA
Source: RNAcentral
UCAUCAUGCCCCUUAUGACCUGGGCUACACACGUGCUACAAUGGGCGGUACAAAGGGUCGCGAACCCGCACGGGGAGCCAAUCCCAAAAAAGCCGCUCUCAGUUCGGAUUGCAGGCUGCAACUCGCCUGCAUGAAGCCGGAAUCGCUAGUAAUCGCGGAUCAGCAUGCCGCGGUCGAAUACGUUCCGGCCUU